Molecule: ribosomal RNA, 254 nt
Filed under: uncultured bacterium
Lineage: Bacteria
Description: partial 16S ribosomal RNA
Rfam family: Bacterial small subunit ribosomal RNA
Source: RNAcentral
UACGAAGGGGGCUAGCGUUGUUCGGAAUUACUGGGCGUAAAGGGCGCGUAGGCGGCGUGUCAAGUCAGGCGUGAAAGCCCCGGGCUCAACCUGGGAACCGCGCUUGAGACUGGCAUGCUCGAGUUCGGGAGAGGAUGGUGGAAUUCCCAGUGUAGAGGUGAAAUUCGUAGAUAUUGGGAAGAACACCGAUGGGCGAAGGCAGCCAUCUGGACCGACACUGACGCUGAGGCGCGAAAGCGUGGGGAGCAAACAGG